UCGAGAGUGAUGGGAGACGACAAACACAGCAUAACAAAAUUGUCGGUUGGUUUUUUUUUUUUGCCUCUGUGAAAUAUCUUGUUCUUCAGUUUCUGUUGCUGAUUUAACUAAUACGUGGAAGAAUAUGGGCUGAUUUUCUGUAUUUUGUUAAGAGGCUUGUUGAAACUCUUCUGGAUCGAAGUCACAUCUGAUCGACGACUCAACCAUACGAAAAGCAAAUAUUCAGAAAUUGGAGUGACGGAGAAAGCAAUGGUGGAAAAGAAAAGACGUUCUUUCGUUUAUCUCCUCAAUAUUUAACAACGUUUCAUAUAGAUGUAUUUAUAUUCAUUUCACACGUAUAGUUGGCAUAAGAGCAUAUAAUCAUGGCCGAUGUCGUUGCGUAUGGUUCAACAAACUUCUGCACAACAUGUGUGACCAACAAUCUGUUGUGCAAGAUUUUGUCGAAAAGGAGGAAAUUGGUGUUCCCAGUGUGAUCAGUAACAUGAAUGUGUAACUUAAACCUAUAGUCAAACAAUAAUUAUUUCGAAUUUCUUAAACCUAAAAAAUAAACAUUUUCUACCUUAGCACAAGUAUGGGAUUGUCGAGUCUGCAUCGGGUACAAUGGAAAGCCAUUGGUAAGAUGUCAACAGCCUCAUCCUCGUCGAGGCCAUCAAGAAGGACUGGGACAACCUUCUUGGAGCAAUCCUUACAGCUCCAAUAAUACCAACCCAUAUCGCUAUCGAUGGCUAAUAUAAUAGCCUUAACAAUACACUUACUAACCUGUUAUUUAUAAUACACGUCAGAAUUUUUAACAAAUCAAUUUUAUUGACAAUGUUCUUCCUAAUGUAUAUUAUUUGCUAU
Camelina sativa (false flax) is the source of this 840-nucleotide non-coding RNA. The record is from RefSeq and is a predicted model, not a curated record. Lineage: Eukaryota; Viridiplantae; Streptophyta; Magnoliopsida; Brassicales; Brassicaceae.